ACUCUCCAAGCAUGCGUACUGAGACGCGAGCCCCUCCUCCCACAAUCCUUCACGUCGGAGCUCACCGCCUACUCAGACGGAGGGCUGGCCGAACCUUGGAUCUCCUUUUGAGGCGCCAAGUGUUUCAGGUCCUGGGCUUGUCGGGAAAACUCUGGAAAACACGUUAGACUAGAUAAUCCAAACAAUGAAGAGAUACUCAGGAAGUGGUGGUGAAAAGAAACGGUUGGAACCCAGGAAGGAAACGAAAAGCUCACCAACUGAAGCAAAGUUCAGGUAACUGAAAGCUGCUUUUGUUGUCACAUGCCAGGCAAGGGCAACAUUGACUCCUUACUAUUACUUGUAAAGCAAAGGCUUGAGAAAACAGUCCAUCCUCUCUGAACCAAUGAGUCGCUUAAGCUUAGGCAGAAAGAACCUGGCUUCUGCAGAUGUCUUAAGAAAUCUAUGUCAGAAUCCACCUUAUAAGGUGUCUCAGGCUGGGUUUGGGGUUUUUUGGUUUGUUUUUUGCUUUUUGUUUUUCGUUCUUCCCAGCAAGAAUCCUUUCCAGAUUCUAAUCACUCUUAAAGGCUGAAAUAAGUCCUGCUUUGACUACGCCUUGCCCCCAAAUGAGACACAGAACUUUAAUUUGUACCUACUACAAAUUUUUACAGUAUUUAGAUUCUGUAGAGCACGAUCUGAUGUUCAAUUCAGUGGGUCAUUUAGUAUGACAGUUGUUCCAGAAAGAUCAGAAUGCUCUCCAUAAAAGGAUAGAUGCUUCCCAAGGAUGUAUCUGUAAUACCUCUUUUUUUUUUUCCUACUCAGCUACCUGAAUAAUUAUUUAUUUA
Molecule: long non-coding RNA, 821 nt
Organism: Acinonyx jubatus (cheetah)
Lineage: Eukaryota; Metazoa; Chordata; Mammalia; Carnivora; Felidae
Exons: 2
Source: RefSeq, a predicted model, not a curated record